CGCUUCCUGACGCGAUCCGGAACUGGAGCUGUCUCAAUUUGAUUGACUUCAAUAGUAGUUGAAGUACCGACGGAAUCGAACGAUAUUGGGAAUUGAUCGUCCACCGUGAAGUCCAACAGAUCUCCCCAGUCCCAGAGAGCUGAAGACGAAGGGUCUUCCGACACAGGCGGGUGAAUUUCCAUAUCGUGAAACUUAGGCCGAAGAGCUCCGGGUGAAGGUGGAGGAGAAGGUCCCAUAACGGCGGAGAAAAUCCCUAGAUAUUUUAGGAUAGGUAAGGUGGCGUUUAGGAGAAGUAACAGAUAGAAAUUGGCCCGGUUGUUAAGCGAUGGGUAAAGUUCAGUUUGGCUUGGAGGGCUAGGGAGUCGUCGUCGGAGGAAAACAAAAUGAGGUUAUUGUGGCGACAUGGAAUCUUACUCGAUUAUUGUCCUUAGAAUAGCAAUUCCACGCGCUUUCUUGAGACGGGCCGCUGCCAAAUAUAGCUAUAAUCAAACUGAGGACUUGACCUGUUGUAUGGAAAAUCUUAAAGCAACUUCGUAUUAAUAAAAAAAUAAUUUAAUUUUAUCCAAAUAAUUUAAUUUUAUUUAAUUAAGUUUAGGGGUGAAAAUGAUUUGUUUAUAAUAUUAGUAAGUGGAAUAAUCUUUUUUUUUUCGGUGGACAGUUAAUGGAGUAAUCUUAACGCUGAUCCGAUUGAUGCUUCAACGGUGGGGGCGGCGUGGAAUAACGGACAGUUGGUGGAGGUUGCGUGUAGCGGUGGCGAGUGGGGGAGGACAGAUGAAGCAUCCUUGUCAAGAAGAACUGAAGCAAAGUAAUGACGACAUAUGGUGUCGGCCUUUCGGUCUUUGGAAAAGUUGCAUUCAGUAGAGGUACCCGUUCUCCGUUGUGUUCUCUGUUGCGUAUGACUGCUGCGAGUGGCCACCGCCUGUUCGUGGUCCGAACAGAUUUAAAAAAUAAAACUGUGUUUGAAAGUUAACAUGAUUACUAAGUUAUAAUAACUCUAAAAGAAC
RNAcentral lists this unclassified non-coding RNA (1004 nucleotides) under Hevea brasiliensis (rubber tree). The record is from RNAcentral. Lineage: Eukaryota; Viridiplantae; Streptophyta; Magnoliopsida; Malpighiales; Euphorbiaceae.